UGGGGAAUAUUGGACAAUGGGCGCAAGCCUGAUCCAGCCAUGCCGCGUGAGUGAAGAAGGCUCUAGGGUUGUAAAGCUCUUUCACCCGCGAAGAUGAUGACGGUAGCGGGAGAAGAAGCCCCGGCUAACUCCGUGCCAGCAGCCGCGGUAAUACGGAGGGGGCUAGCGUUGUUCGGAAUUACUGGGCGUAAAGGGCACGUAGGCGGCGCGGUCAGUUAGGUGUGAAAGACCUGGGCUCAACCGAGGAAUUGCACUUAAUACUGCCGCGCUCGAGUCCGAGAGAGGUGAGUGGAAUUCCCAGUGUAGAGGUGAAAUUCGUAGAUAUUGGGAAGAACACCAGUGGCGAAGGCGGCUCACUGGCUCGGUACUGACGCUGAGGUGCGAAAGCGUGGGGAGCAAACAGGAUUAGAUACCCGCGUAGUCC
RNAcentral lists this ribosomal RNA (424 nucleotides) under uncultured prokaryote. Its description in RNAcentral is "bacterial SSU rRNA". It matches the Rfam family "Bacterial small subunit ribosomal RNA", at positions 355 to 796 of the family's 1533-position model. The record is from RNAcentral.